This 276-nucleotide long non-coding RNA is filed under the name Pan troglodytes (chimpanzee). Its description in RNAcentral is "long non-coding RNA NONPTRT010378". The record is from RNAcentral. Lineage: Eukaryota; Metazoa; Chordata; Mammalia; Primates; Hominidae.
CAGGUCAGAUAAAGACAGAAAAUAAAUUCUGGGACCUUGCAUCAGACCACUGCCUCUGGGAGAAACAGAACAGCCAGCAAGACUUUCUUCAAAAAAUAAUGUAUUAAAAACGUUGUCUGAUUUUGUUGACUGCCUGUCAAAUUUGGAAACCUAGAGAGUGUGAAUGUCUCCACUGACAAUGUUCACUGAUCCAUUCAUUGAACAAUUACAUUCUCUAAGCACUUACUCUGGGCCAGGCUUUGUGUGAGGGGCUGUGGAGAAUCAAACAUAAAUCCU